GACGAACGCUGGCGGCGUGCUUAACACAUGCAAGUCGAACGGUGACCUCGGAGCUUGCUCCGGGCGAUCAGUGGCGAACGGGUGAGUAACACGUGACCAACCUGCCCCUUGCUCUGGGAUAACCCCGGGAAACCGGAGCUAAUACCGGAUACGAGACCGAAUGGCAUCACUCGGUCUGGAAAGUUUUUCGGCAAGGGAUGGGGUCGCGGCCUAUCAGCUUGUUGGUGGGGUAAUGGCCUACCAAGGCGACGACGGGUAGCCGGCCUGAGAGGGCGACCGGCCACACUGGGACUGAGACACGGCCCAGACUCCUACGGGAGGCAGCAGUGGGGAAUAUUGCGCAAUGGGCGAAAGCCUGACGCAGCGACGCCGCGUGAGGGAUGACGGCCUUCGGGUUGUAAACCUCUUUCAGCAGGGAAGAAGCGAAAGUGACGGUACCUGCAGAAGAAGCACCGGCUAACUACGUGCCAGCAGCCGCAGUAAAAC
RNAcentral lists this ribosomal RNA (486 nucleotides) under uncultured bacterium. Its description in RNAcentral is "bacterial SSU rRNA". It matches the Rfam family "Bacterial small subunit ribosomal RNA", at positions 28 to 526 of the family's 1533-position model. The record is from RNAcentral.